UUGGGGAAGGUGCAGGUUGAGGAGUUUGUCUUACAGCUGGGUGGGCAUUGAUGCCAAUUUGAUUAGGAGGAAUUUGUUGAGAGAGUAAGGCCUCUCUGCUUUGCAUUUGUCGUUGAUAAAGUUGUUGCUGCUGUUGCUGUUGUUGUUGCUGCUGCAUUGCAGCCUCUUUUUCUUGUUGAAACGGGAUCCGACUUGAAGGCAUCAUGGGACUAGAGUAUUUCACAGAUCCAGAGCCAUUCCAUGCACCGUUAGAGGCGAAAUCAAAUGAUUGAUUUGGCAAAUUACGUUGAGUUGAUGGAGAUUGUCGGAAGGGCUGUGAAUGAGCCAAAUUGUUAGGCUCAUUCUCGGAAGUAUUCAUCAUGUUUGCAUUUCCAUAUUCUGCUGCAUACAUCCCUUGGCUUGUCGAAAAGCGUUGAGGAUACGCAGGUUGUUCUUCCUGAGUAUUAUAACUUUGACCUUGCGUGGGAUAUGAUACUGCGGUUGGAUAAUCACUCG
Molecule: non-coding RNA, 495 nt
Organism: Schizosaccharomyces pombe (fission yeast)
Lineage: Eukaryota; Fungi; Ascomycota; Schizosaccharomycetes; Schizosaccharomycetales; Schizosaccharomycetaceae
Source: the annotation of a GenBank genome assembly